Molecule: ribosomal RNA, 346 nt
Filed under: uncultured eukaryote
Lineage: Eukaryota
Description: SSU rRNA
Rfam family: Eukaryotic small subunit ribosomal RNA
Source: RNAcentral
AUAGCGUAUAUUAAAGUUGUUGCAGUUAAAAAGCUCGUAGUUGAAUUUCAGACCUGGCUGGACGGUCUGCCUAACGGUAUGUACUGUCCGGCUGGGCCUUACCUCUUGGUGAGCCGGCAUGCCCUUCAUUGGGUGUGUUGGGGAACCAGGACUUUUACCUUGAGAAAAUUAGAGUGUUCAAAGCAGGCUUAUGCUCGAAUACAUUAGCAUGGAAUAAUAAAAUAGGACGUGCGGUUCUAUUUUGUUGGUUUCUAGAGUCGCCGUAAUGAUUAAUAGGGAUAGUUGGGGGCAUUAGUAUUCAGUUGCUAGAGGUGAAAUUCUUGGAUUUACUGAAGACUAACUACUG